GAGAAUUUUUGAUGAUGGUUGUUGAUCUGGAAUAGAACAAGGCAUGAGAAAAGCUUCUCUUGUUACUCAAUUUGAAUAAGCUAAAAAAGUAUUCCUAAAUUUGGUUUUGUGUUUCUAACGUGUUUAAGAGAAGUUUUGUUUGCUGUUUCCAAGCCUCUUCUUCUCAUGCAGUAUUCAUGGGAUUUUUAAAUUAGUGUCAUGAGGCAGUAUCUAAAUAAUUUUUUCUCCUUUUAUUUCACGGUUGACUUAUAGCAUUUCCCAAUAAAGGAAUCCUUUCUGUCCCGUCUCUUAAGCAGUCCUUCACUUUUUGCUUCUGAGUACUUAAAAUUGACCAGCUCAUUUUUUUGUGAGGGAGCUUGUUCUGUUUUUGGAUCACCCUAAUGAUAAGGGAGUUCUGUAUACUAAAAUAUUGUAUGCAACUUUCAGACUUCAUAACAGCAUCUUAUUUCCUAUGGUGAAGUUUUAUUUUGUCAUCCUUUCUCAACUAUUGUGUUCACAGUUAGAUGUGGUCAGUGUGGUAUUGUUAAUCUCUAUUGACAGCAUUAGUGUCUUAUGUAUAUAUAAAUAAUUGAGGAAUUUGUCUACUAUUGCAAUCAGUGUUACGGAUAUUUUUAAAAGUAGGUACAUGAUGAGCUCCUGGCUAGUUCAGUCAGUAGAGCAUGUGACUUUUGAUCUUGAGGUGAGUUCAAGCCCCAUGUUGGCUUAGAGUUGAAUUUUUAAAAAAAGGUAAAAGUAGAUACAUGACAUAUUUCCACCCUAAUUUUGUAAAAAUUACUAAAGUAUGAACAGAAUUUAAGUAGUUGAGAUAUUCUAGUCACUAUACUAAACAUUUUACAUUCUUUAUUAGUGUAAUCCUCACAUCAACUUUAUCUUUGCUUUAUAGGAAAAACUGAUAGCUAGAGGGAUGAACUGUUUGCCUAUACUUACAGAGCUAUUAUGUGUAACAGCUGGGAUUCAGAGUGAUGUGCCUGACUCCAUGGUCUGCUACCUUGCUCUUUGCCCUUGUGAGAGAUUAUGAAGUUGGGCAGAUCCUGGCCAGGCUGAGGAUAUUGGAUCUCACUGUCCUCUUAGCUCCUCCACCCUUCUUAGGAGCAGAAAAGGAAGGGAGAAUGGAGUAAAAAUGGUAUACUAGAAGAAAUCAAUCACAGAAGAAGGCUGGAAUGGAGAAACUGAGGAAAAAAAGGUAUAAGAUAUAGGAAAAAAGUAGCAAAAUGGCAGAAGUAUGUCCUUAACUAAUAAUUAUCUUUAAAGGAUUAUUCAACUUAUGAAUAAUUGAAUUUAAUAAUGAUUGAACAAUAAUUUGAAUAAAAAAUUACAAAAAUCA
Lutra lutra (Eurasian river otter) is the source of this 1324-nucleotide long non-coding RNA. RefSeq lists it as uncharacterized. The record is from RefSeq and is a predicted model, not a curated record. Lineage: Eukaryota; Metazoa; Chordata; Mammalia; Carnivora; Mustelidae. The transcript is spliced from 2 exons.